GGGGGUGUAAAGGUUUCGACAGGAAGUUAUCUGGUAGCAAAUGCAGUCGUGUGAUCCACGUUAAUCAUCAAAAAUAAAUUAAUUGUAAAAACAAAAUUAGCAAACUUCUUUGGUGGAAACCAAGCUGUAGCUUUCGCUGCUUAAUAACCUAACUAUUGGUUUGCAGUCGUAGACUAAUCACAUAGCUUUCUGUGGUUAACUCUGCGUAAGAGAUGAAAGAUAAGGGACACAAGGUCUAGGUGUGCUCUCGAAAACUAAAUAGACAAACCUUUUAAUUAGUUGUCUGUUGCUAUUAAAAGGAUAACAAGUUCAGACUAAACUGUAGAUUUUGCUACGUGGGAUGCUUUUUGGACAGGGGUUCGACUCCCCUCAUCUCCACCA
Molecule: transfer-messenger RNA, 381 nt
Filed under: uncultured Breznakia sp.
Lineage: Bacteria; Bacillati; Bacillota; Erysipelotrichia; Erysipelotrichales; Erysipelotrichaceae
Rfam family: transfer-messenger RNA
About the family: Bacterial tmRNA, also known as 10Sa RNA or SsrA, is named for its dual tRNA and mRNA-like properties.
Source: RNAcentral